This 459-nucleotide ribosomal RNA is filed under the name uncultured bacterium. RNAcentral's name for it is "partial 16S ribosomal RNA". It matches the Rfam family "Bacterial small subunit ribosomal RNA", at positions 338 to 795 of the family's 1533-position model. The record is from RNAcentral.
CCUACGGGCGGCAGCAGUGAGGAAUAUUGGUCAAUGGGAGAGAUACUGAACCAGCCAAGCCGCGUGAGGGAAGACGGCCCUAUGGAUUGUAAACCCCUUUUGUCGGAGAACAAAACCUGGGACGCGUCCCCGGCUGCGUGUAUCCGAAGAAAAAGCAUCGGCUAACUCCGUGCCAGCAGCCGCGGUAAUACGGAGGAUGCGAGCGUUAUCCGGAUUUAUUGGGUUUAAAGGGUGCGUAGGCGGUCCGUUAAGUCAGCGGUAAAAGUGCGGGGCUCAACCCCGGCGCGCCGUUGAAACUGGCAGACUUGAGUUGGCGAGAAGUACGCGGAAUGCGCGGUGUAGCGGUGAAAUGCAUAGAUAUCGCGCAGAACUCCGAUUGCGAAGGCAGCAUGCCGGCGCCAGACUGACGCUGAGGCACGAAAGCGUGGGGAUCGAACAGGAUUAGAUACCCGUGUAGUC